Molecule: small nuclear RNA, 186 nt
Filed under: Heterocephalus glaber (naked mole-rat)
Lineage: Eukaryota; Metazoa; Chordata; Mammalia; Rodentia; Bathyergidae
Description: 7SK RNA
Rfam family: 7SK RNA
About the family: 7SK was discovered as an abundant small nuclear RNA in the mid-70s but a possible function has only recently been suggested. Two independent studies have found that 7SK RNA binds the CDK9/cyclin T complex (known as elongation factor P-TEFb).
Source: Rfam by way of RNAcentral
GAAUGUGAGGGUGAUCUGUAUGUGACAUCUGUCACCUCAUUGAUUGCCAGGGUUGAUUCAAGUCAUCUGGUUGGCAAGGCGGGUGUCCCGUUCCUCUCUCACUGCCCCAUGUGUGUCCCUCCUGAAGUGCACACUUGGCCAAAGAGGAGGACCACCCCUGAUAGAGGAGGACCACUCCCCUGCUAG